This 456-nucleotide long non-coding RNA is filed under the name Lathyrus oleraceus (garden pea). RNAcentral's name for it is "Pisum sativum (pea) long non-coding RNA (PSAT_LNC035288)". The record is from RNAcentral. Lineage: Eukaryota; Viridiplantae; Streptophyta; Magnoliopsida; Fabales; Fabaceae.
CUAAUUGAGAUGAAUGUUGAUUUAGACUUUUUUUUUCUUUUGAUGAAAAGUGAUUGAAAUUGAAAGAGGAGAUACAGACCUUAAAUAGAGAACUGAAGAAGAAGAAAGGCCAUGAUUCAACUUUAACGUUGAGCCGAAAUUGAAUUUCUUGCGGUUAUAAUAACAAUGAAUAGCAUUCAUUGUAUUUAAUUUUGCGUAUAAUUCAAAAUCUGAAUAGGGAAACUACAGAAGUGAUUGAGAUUCUCUAGAGAAAUUAGUGGUGGCUAACAUAAUUAAUUUAAUAGGAUGAGUAAAUGGAAGUAAUACCGGUUCGGUUUGGACCGGUUCGGUUUUCAUGAAGCCAACCGUAAACCGAACCGAACCGAUCGGUUAUGCAACAUGGUGAUCCAAAUACAUCCAAAAAAAAUCGGUUUUUUUGGAUUUCGGUUUUUUCGGUUCGGUUUUUGGUUUUUUUUU